Molecule: transfer-messenger RNA, 67 nt
Filed under: Actinomycetota bacterium
Lineage: Bacteria; Bacillati; Actinomycetota
Description: Actinobacteria bacterium partial transfer-messenger RNA
Rfam family: transfer-messenger RNA
About the family: Bacterial tmRNA, also known as 10Sa RNA or SsrA, is named for its dual tRNA and mRNA-like properties. Its role is to liberate the mRNA from a stalled ribosome. To accomplish this part of the tmRNA is used as a reading frame that ends in a translation stop signal.
Source: RNAcentral
CACUACGCCCGUAGAAGCCCUGUAUCAGUGUCGAAGGACCCGGGUUCGAUUCCCGGCACCUCCACCA